This 2407-nucleotide long non-coding RNA is filed under the name Sus scrofa (pig). RNAcentral's name for it is "lncRNA (ENSSSCG00055006006.1)". Lineage: Eukaryota; Metazoa; Chordata; Mammalia; Artiodactyla; Suidae. The record is from RNAcentral.
GGUUUCCAUUCAGCAAUAGACUGUAAACAAGCCUGAUGUUUUGCCUUCAUUUAGGAAGACAUAUCUCAAGACCUAGUAACAGUUUGCUGCUGGCUGCAAAUGACUCUGAUCAUAGAGUGAACUAGCCCUUCAAGUCUCUUUCUCACUGACAUCCCCACAUCUCGUAUGCUUCAGCAUCAAAUCAGUGGUCUUCCCUAAUGUUCCAAAUUCUUUCAUACCUCUGGGCUUCUGCAUUUACUGUCUCCUCUGCCUGAGACUUCUAUGAUCUCUUCUAUUCAUCUGGUGAAUUCAUACUCACUCUUUGAGAUUUAGACCAAACUUCAGCUCCACCAGGAAGUGAUUCAGGCCAGGCUAGGUGCCUAUCUUCUAAGCUUCGAUAACACUCCACUGCACCCUUCUAUGCACUUAACACACUUCAUGAUAGUCUUGGUUUACUUAUUUCUGUGGUACUUCUACAAGAUUCUUGAAAACAUGGACUUAUAUUAUUCAUCUUAUUUUGUUUAUAUAUUCUCAUCUCCUAGUUAGUACAAUUCCUGGCACAUAGGAGAGCUCAUAAAUGUUAUUUAAAUGAAUAAACAAAUAAUUGAAUUAUUAGUAAAAAGCAGGCAAAUUAAGUAGAUUUCUCUACAUUGUGACUUGAAGAUCUUCCCAAAGAACAAAAAUACCUGAAAAGCCACCAUUAGAGAUUUACUAUAGAUUAUUUUGACCUGGCAGUAAAAUUGCAGCAUGGCCUUGAACAAUGCUGGCUUUCUUAGCUAAUAGUUUUUCAUCACAUUAAAGUACACUACAACCAUCCAUCUCCUCCAGAAACCUAAGAGUAGGGUUACAAAAGAACAUAAAAGGUAAGUUCCAAUAAGAGACAAUUCAUGUCUUAAAUUUACAGAAUGGAAUAAUGCUCAAGACAGGGAAGGUCUAAAUAAGUGAUUAGCACACCGUUUUGGGGAGCAUUCAGACUUGAGUUUGAAUCCUAGUUCUACCACUCAAUAGCUAUGAGAUUUGGGAAAAUGUACUUUCUUACUCCUGCAUCAAUUUCUUCAUCUGGAAAAUGGGAAUAUUAACAUCCAAAUCAUAAGAUUAAAUGAGAUAACAUAUAAAAUGCUUUUCAGGAGUUCCCAGGCUCAGGGUCAAAUCGGAGCUGUAGCUGCCAGCCUACGCCAGAGCCACGGCAACACAGGAUCCGAGCCGUAUCUGCAACCUACACCACAGCUCAUGGCAACGUUGGAUCCUUAACCCACUGAGCAAGGGCAGGGACUGAACCCACAACCUCAUGGUUCCUAGUCGGAUUCGUUAACCACUGCGCCAUGACGGGAACUCCUGCACCACUUAUUGAAGAGACUGUCUUUCCUCCACUGAGACUGUCUGUCCUUGCCUCCUUUGUCAUGGAUUAGUUAACCAUAGCACACAGGUUUAUUUUCAGGCUUUCUAUCCUGUCCCAUUGAUCUAUAUUUCUGUUUUUGUGCCAGUACCAUACUGUUUUGAUGACUGUAGCUUUGUAGUAUAGUCUUGAGUCAGGGAGCCUGCUUCCUCCAGUUCUGCUUUUCUUUUUCAAUAUUGCUUUAGCUAUUUUGGAUUUUUUGUGUUUCCAUACAAAUUUUUUUAUUCAUGUAUUUAUUAAAGUAUAGUUGAUUUGCAAUGUUGCGCCAAUUUCUGCUGUACAGCAAAGUGACCCAGUCAUGCAUAGCUAUACAUUCCCUUUCUUCUCUCUCUCUUUUUUUUUUUCUAUCUUUUUGCCUUUUCUAGGGCCACUUCCUGCAGCAUAUGGAGGUUCCCAGGCUAGGGGUCUAAUCAGAGCUGUAGCCACCGGCCUACGCCACAGCCACAGCAACACGGGAUCCAAGUCACGUCUACAAACUACACCACAACUCAUGGAAACACCGGAUCCUUAUCCCACUGAGCAAGGCCAGGGAUUGAACCCGAAACCUCAUGGUUCUUAGUCAGAUUCGUUAUCCAUUGAGCCACGACAGGAACUCCUUAUCUUAUCUUCCACCAUGGUCCAUCCCAAGAGAUUGGAUAUAGUUCCCUGUGCUAUGCAGCAGAACCUCAUUGCUUAUCCAUGCCAUAUAAAUUUUAAAAUGUCCUGUUCUAGUUCUGUGAAGAAUGGCAUUGGAUUAAGAAGAUGUGGUGCAUAUAUACAAUGGAAUACUACUUGGCCAUAAAAAAAGAACAAAGUAGAGUUCCCACUGUGGCUCAGUGAUAAUGAACCUCACUAGCAUCCAUGAGGUUCCAAGUUUGAUCCCUGGCCUCCCUCAGUGGGUUAAGGAUCUAGCACAGACUGGGCUCGGAUCCUGAAUUGCUGUGGCUCUAGCGUAGGCUGGCCACCGCAGCUCCAAUUUGAUUCCUAGCCUAGAAACUUCCAUAUGCUGCACAUGUAGCCCUAAAAAGCAAAAGAAAAAAGAAAAAAAAAAAA